Molecule: ribosomal RNA, 253 nt
Filed under: uncultured microorganism
Description: partial 16S ribosomal RNA
Rfam family: Bacterial small subunit ribosomal RNA
Source: RNAcentral
UACGUAGGGGGCGAGCGUUACCCGGAUUCACUGGGCGUAAAGCGGGUGUAGGCGGCUCGGUAAGUCGGGUGUGAAAUCCCACAGCUCAACUGUGGAAUUGCGCCCGAAACUGCUGAGCUUGGGGCCGGUAGAGGGAGAGGGAACUGCCGGUGUAGGGGUGAAAUCCGUAGAUAUCGGCAGGAACGCCGGUGGGGAAGCCGGUCUCCUGGGCCGCGCCCGACGCUGAGACCCGAAAGCUAGGGGAGCAAACAGG